AGAUGGCGACCGGCGCACGGGUGAGUAACACGUAUCCAACCUGCCGAUAACUCUGGAAUAGCCUUUCGAAAGAAAGAUUAAUACCGGAUAGUAUACGAAUAUCGCAUGAUAUUUUUAUUUAAAGAAUUUCGGUUAUCGAUGGGGAUGCGUUCCAUUAGUUUGUUGGCGGGGUAACGGCCCACCAAGACUACGAUGGAUAGGGGGUUCUGAGAGGAAGGUCCCCCACAUUGGAACUGAGACACGGUCCAAACUCCUACGGGAGGCAGCAUG
This 270-nucleotide ribosomal RNA is filed under the name uncultured bacterium. Its description in RNAcentral is "partial 16S ribosomal RNA". It matches the Rfam family "Bacterial small subunit ribosomal RNA", at positions 86 to 353 of the family's 1533-position model. The record is from RNAcentral.